Molecule: ribosomal RNA, 1092 nt
Filed under: Pseudoalteromonas citrea DSM 8771
Lineage: Bacteria; Pseudomonadati; Pseudomonadota; Gammaproteobacteria; Alteromonadales; Pseudoalteromonadaceae
Description: bacterial LSU rRNA
Rfam family: Bacterial large subunit ribosomal RNA
Source: RNAcentral
AUGGUUAAGUGACUAAGCGUAUACGGUGGAUGCCUUGGCAGUUGGAGGCGAUGAAGGACGUACUAACUUGCGAUAAGCCUAGUUGAGCCAGUAAGAGGCGCUUGAGACUAGGAUUUCCGAAUGGGGAAACCCACCUGCUUUGCAGGUAUCAUAUGGUGAAUACAUAGCCAUAUGAGGCGAACGCGGAGAACUGAAACAUCUAAGUACCCGUAGGAAAAGAAAUCAACCGAGAUUCCGAAAGUAGCGGCGAGCGAAAUCGGAACAGCCCUUAAGCUGUUUUGUAAUUAGUGGAAGGCUCUGGAAAGUGCCACGAUACAGGGUGAUAGUCCCGUACACAAAAAUUUAUAAGCAGUGAAAUCGAGUAGGUCGGAGCACGUGAAACUUUGACUGAAUAUAGGUGGACCAUCAUCUAAGGCUAAAUACUCCCAACUGACCGAUAGUGAACCAGUACCGUGAGGGAAAGGCGAAAAGAACCCCUGUGAGGGGAGUGAAAUAGAACCUGAAACCGUAUACGUACAAGCAGUAGGAGCAUACUAGUUAUGUGACUGCGUACCUUUUGUAUAAUGGGUCAGCGACUUAUAUUCUGUAGCGAGGUUAACCGAUUAGGGUAGCCGUAGCGAAAGCGAGUCUUAACUGGGCGCUUAGUUGCAGGGUAUAGACCCGAAACCCGGUGAUCUAGCCAUGGGCAGGUUGAAGGUUGAGUAACAUCAACUGGAGGACCGAACCCACUAACGUUGAAAAGUUAGGGGAUGACCUGUGGCUAGGAGUGAAAGGCUAAUCAAACCGGGAGAUAGCUGGUUCUCCCCGAAAUCUAUUUAGGUAGAGCCUCGGACGAAUACUUACGGGGGUAGAGCACUGUUAAGGCUAGGGGGUCAUCCCGACUUACCAACCCUUUGCAAACUCCGAAUACCGUAAAGUACUAUCCGGGAGACACACGGUGGGUGCUAACGUCCAUCGUGAAGAGGGAAACAACCCAGACCGCCAGCUAAGGUCCCAAAGUAUAUGUUAAGUGGGAAACGAUGUGGGAAGGCUAAAACAGCUAGGAGGUUGGCUUAGAAGCAGCCACCCUUUAAAGAAAGCGUAAUAGCUCAC